This 1871-nucleotide long non-coding RNA is filed under the name Musa acuminata (dwarf banana). RNAcentral describes it as "long non-coding RNA (MACU_LNC005143)". The record is from RNAcentral. Lineage: Eukaryota; Viridiplantae; Streptophyta; Magnoliopsida; Zingiberales; Musaceae.
CGAGUAGUGCACCAUAAUCUACAAGUCAAUGCCAUUCAUUGGCUGACUGAGAGCUUUUGCCAAUGUCUUCUUGUGGCAGAUGGCUGGAAGAUGAUAAAGUCAAAGUUCAUCUUCUCUGUAUGAAACAAGCUAAAAACUACUGCAGGUUUAAUAUUUUGUGGUGGUUAGAAGAGUUAUUGAUGAAUGUCCUGAGAGCACUUGUUCUCUUUGCUUUAGAGAGUUCAACACCAAAAGCCUCACAUGCUCUGACACACUUCAUGUGGCUGAGGACCCUCACUUCUCCGCGUUAAACUCCUGGUUUCAGCACAAGCUAGAACCCUAGAAAAGCUUCUGAAGGAUUCUCCCACCUUUUCUUCAUCUUGGUCUUCUUUUCACACAGCUUUCAAGUAAAGAUAUGUCGCUGGCCCAAAGUUCAAUUAAGAUGUGGCAACUUGAUGAAGCAUAGUUCACUGAGUGUUGGUAAGUUGGGGGAAGCUUUCUGGCAUUGGGUCGUCCAAGACGAGAUCGAAGUGCCCCGCAAAACAAUCAGUCAUGUUGCUCUGCUCCAACUGAAAUAAGAUUCAGCAGAGAGCGAAUUUAAUGUGUCUCUCCUGAGUUCUUGCCCUCUUGAUGUGGCUACUUGGUGAAGCAUUAGUUCACUGAAUGUUUGAAACCUCGGGGGGAAGCUUUCUGACAUCAGAUGAUAGAAGACAAAUCGAAGUGCCCUGCAAAACAAUCAUAGACAUGUCGCUCUGCUGUAACUGAAACAAGAUUAAGAAGACAGUGGUUUGAUAUAUAUGGAACAAAGUGUGUCAAAGCAAAUGCAGAUCAAUAUGUAAUGCUUUUUCAGAGACAUACAACAUCAAACAGACGCAUUCGGUCAUGAAAUGAGUCUUUUGUCUUGCAAGGUGUAAAUUCUAUUCAUUUUGGCAUCAAUUCAUGAACCAUUUAGCCUGAAAAUUGUUGCUGUUUGGCCAGCUGUGCCAUCUGCUCAACUUCCUUUCAAUAGUUCAUGAGUUGUGUCUAACGAGGGAUAAUAAUACAUGCAUGACACAGUAUGGCACCAGUGGGACCUGAAGAACCUAAUUGUCAAAUGAUGGCAUCAUUCUAACAACUUAGUGGAUCCACCAUCAUUUGGCCUCGGGCAGGAUUCGACUGAUUCUAUGUAAUGCACAUCAAAGAAGAAAAAAGAAGAGGAUAUGAAAUGAAGUUAUAAUGGAGGUGGUUGACCUUUCCUUUUCACCAACUUUAAGACUAGAGGCCAAUAAUAUCUUAACCUAGACUAAGUUUUCCCUGCAAUUUGAUCUUACUUGACUUGACUAUAUCUGUACUUGCAGCAAAUUUGCAGAUAGCACAUAGGCUAUUUACGUGGAGGUUCAAAUUUCAAAAUCAAGAAUCUCCCUGUAAAUACGAAAGAUUGGAAAUCAUAGUAUUACACUAGUCUAGUUACAUUCUCUAAGACCAAGCUCAUUCAACUAGAUGUUUGAGCUUACUAGAGAUAAUCUGUUUGGAGAUACCUGUCUUCAUGGAUGAUCACUGAAGCAUCACAAGCCAGCUUAAAUAAUCAGAUGAAAAGAUUUAAUGUGCCUAGACCGUUGUGCUAAACAUGUUAAGGCACCUGAUAAAUAAACAAGACAAAAGAUUUAGGAUAUGAGAGGAAAAGAAAAUUCAUUUCUCUCUGCAUGGUUUAGAUGGGCAUGAGGAAUAAGUAGAAAGAAAUAAGGGCCCUUAAAAAAUCUUCAUGGCACUACUUUUCAUGUCAAUGAUCCACAAGAUGAGCUUAAAGAUGAAACUGACUUUUAGAUGUUUGUGUAUGUCUGAUAGCACCUCACAUCACAAUGUACAUUAAAAUCCUUUGCAUUGACUACUCCAGGCCCCCUGUUACAAGAAAG